RNAcentral lists this long non-coding RNA (277 nucleotides) under Pongo abelii (Sumatran orangutan). RNAcentral's name for it is "lincRNA". The record is from RNAcentral. Lineage: Eukaryota; Metazoa; Chordata; Mammalia; Primates; Hominidae.
GUUCACCAUUUUGUGUGUCCAAGGACCACCUACUUUUUACAUAUGACAAGAACUACCCACCUCCACUCUUCAGAACAUGCUGGAGAAAAGAGUUACAAUGAGAAAAUAUAUGGGAACAAAAUACCUAUGCAAUGCAGAAGUCUGCAUAACUAAACCACUCAGAGGAAAAAAAUUGCCAUUUCAGGACACCUCCUACAUCUGAAGAAAUAUGUAUUGAUCUUGAAAUAUUUUUCUCCUCCAAAUAAAAGUCAGUAUGAUAACAACUACACUAUCAGAA